UAAUCAGAUUCCAUAUUUAUCGCUAUAUAUCGCUAACACGCCAUGUGGCGCAUAUGCGACUCAAUUGUUGACAAAUAUGUCUCUAACCUUGCCCUUACGACGUGAUGAUUGAUCAGCACGUCACGCCGCCUGCAUCGUGCGGGCUCCAUGCGGUCAUUUUGCUAUCUGGGGAAGCGAUGAUGUAGUGUGAGGAGAGGCAGCGAAAUUGUAGUACGAAGGAGGUGGAGGUUUUCAUUUUCAAUAGGGAGCGUGUACCGUAUGAUAUUCCACGCUCACUACAAGACCCUGGCGAAAUGCAUGCUAGUGUGCAAACGCUGGAAUGACUUGAUUCACAUUAUCUGCAAGGAGAGCAGUUCUUUUGAAGGAAAUUUGAUUAAAAAUCAUUCCGGAAGUGAUGGUCUUGAGGAACAUUGGAAGAUUUCAAGAAAUGGUGGCAACAAGUGGGCAGUUGAAAAUUGGCCCGUGGGUGCUCCACCAUUGUCGGAAACAGCCAUUGUUCGCAGACAGCAAAACUUGUUUCGUAACUUCAUAUCACGAUUGUAGUAAAAGUCUUAACUGUGGAUCUUCUUGCUGAAGGACUGACUUCACAAAUUUUGGAUAAGCUUCAACUGCCCAUAAUGCACAAAAGAAGCUCGGGAACGCAAAAAAAAACUCUAGGAGACUAUUAUGGAGAUCGAACACUAGUUUUAAAGCAGAAUUAAAUAAAUUUUUUUACCCUUUACAUAAAAAGGACCACCUUAAGUUAAGGACAGAUCAAGGGAAACCUGAAGGAGUCAGGGGAUUUUCGACUAAAUGAAGUUGAAGUUAAUUUAAUUAUUUUG
Long non-coding RNA from Belonocnema kinseyi, 821 nucleotides. RefSeq lists it as uncharacterized. The transcript is spliced from 3 exons. Lineage: Eukaryota; Metazoa; Arthropoda; Insecta; Hymenoptera; Cynipidae. The record is from RefSeq and is a predicted model, not a curated record.